Molecule: ribosomal RNA, 394 nt
Filed under: uncultured bacterium
Lineage: Bacteria
Description: bacterial SSU rRNA
Rfam family: Bacterial small subunit ribosomal RNA
Source: RNAcentral
AUUGAACGCUGGCGGCAUGCCUUACACAUGCAAGUCGAACGGUAACGGGCCUUCGGUGCCGACGAGUGGCGAACGGGUGAGUAAUGCAUCGGAGCGUACCUUUCAGUGGGGGAUAACGUAGCGAAAGUUACGCUAAUACCGCAUAUUCUGUGAGCAGGAAAGCAGGGGAUCGCAAGACCUUGCGCUGAUUGAGCGGCCGAUGUCAGAUUAGCUAGUUGGUGAGGUAAAGGCUCACCAAGGCGACGAUCUGUAGCGGGUCUGAGAGGAUGAUCCGCCACACUGGAACUGAGACACGGUCCAGACUCCUACGGGAGGCAGCAGUGGGAAUUUUGGACAAUGGGGCAACCCUGAUCCAGCCAUGCCGUCGUGAGUGAAGAGGGCCUUCGGUGUUAAG